UGGGGAAUUUUGGACAAUGGGGGAAACCCUGAUCCAGCCAUCCCGCGUGUGCGAUGAAGGCCUUCGGGCUGUAAAGCACUUUUGGCAGGAAAGAAACGUCAUGGGUUAAUACCCCGUGAAACUGACGGUACCUGCAGAAUAAGCACCGGCUAACUACGUGCCAGCAGCCGCGGUAAUACGUAGGGUGCAAGCGUUAAUCGGAAUUACUGGGCGUAAAGCGUGCGCAGGCGGUUCGGAAAGAAAGAUGUGAAAUCCCAGAGCUCAACUUUGGAACUGCAUUUUUAACUACCGGGCUAGAGUGUGUCAGAGGGAGGUGGAAUUCCGCGUGUAGCAGUGAAAUGCGUAGAUAUGCGGAGGAACACCGAUGGCGAAGGCAGCCUCCUGGGAUAACACUGACGCUCAUGCACGAAAGCGUGGGGAGCAAACAGG
RNAcentral lists this ribosomal RNA (429 nucleotides) under Acidobacteriota bacterium. Its description in RNAcentral is "Acidobacteria bacterium partial 16S ribosomal RNA". It matches the Rfam family "Bacterial small subunit ribosomal RNA", at positions 355 to 776 of the family's 1533-position model. The record is from RNAcentral. Lineage: Bacteria; Pseudomonadati; Acidobacteriota.